Long non-coding RNA from Bubalus bubalis (water buffalo), 655 nucleotides. RefSeq lists it as uncharacterized. The transcript is spliced from 4 exons. NCBI's taxonomy places the organism in Eukaryota, Metazoa, Chordata, Mammalia, Artiodactyla, Bovidae. The record is from RefSeq and is a predicted model, not a curated record.
AAUGGGAAAUGCUACCCAGGAGGAAGUUUUUGUCUUAGGCAAAUGAAAAACACAGAUUGGAGCAAAGUGAGAUUUCCUGAGUAGGGGAUGACCUAGCAAAGUCUAGGGGUAACCAGCAAAUAAAGAUGGGAGAUGGUAGGGUGAUUGACAUGGCCAAGAAAGAAGAUUUCUGCAUAGACCAGAGAGGUGGAAAUGAAGCUCCUGUGUUGCCAGAUUUCAAUUUUCAAGAAAAACUUAACAAUCUAUAUUUUUUCUUUGAAGUCUCUCAAUUGUUAAAUGUUGGCCACGCAUUCACAUAUCAGGCCCUUUCCUACAGAUGCAUCAUAAAGCAAAGAAGAACAGAAAGGUCAUUACUGUUUUUCAGGAAUUAAUUGAUAGGGAUUACCUGAAGAAUCCAGAGAAAGAGCAGGUGCUUCGACCUGGCUAUCACGGAGGCGGUAAUAAACGUAAUGAUGGCUUGCUGCCUGAGGAUUCGUGGCACCAGGUCCUGGAUAAAAAUGAAAUGUGCAUUUCAUGAGAAGAUCCCAGCGAGCAGUAAUAAGAAAAAGUAUUCAAUCAUAGUCAAUUGGUUAAAGCUUUGGGGAUGGGCUCAAGUCACCAUUUUAUUCUUCUUUUUUUUCUUUUAAUAAGGACACAAAUAAAAAAAUUAAACUGA